CAUCACAUCCUGGGGCUGUAGUAGGUCCCAAGGGUUGGGCUGUUCGCCCAUUAAAGUGGUACGCGAGCUGGGUUCAGAACGUCGUGAGACAGUUCGGUCCCUAUCCGUCGCAGGCGUAGGAAAUUUGAGAAGACCUGUCCUUAGUACGAGAGGACCGGGAUGGACGUACCUCUGGUGUACCAGUUGUUCUGCCAAGGGCAUGGCUGGGUAGCUAUGUACGGAAUGGAUAAGCGCUGAAAGCAUCUAAGCGCGAAGCCAACUUCAAGAUAAGAUUUCCCACCGCAAGGGUAAGACCCCAGAAAGACUAUCUGGUUGAUAGGUCGAAGGUGUAAGUGCAGCAAUGUAUUUAGCUUAUCGAUACUAAUAGGUCGAGGACUUGACCAAU
RNAcentral lists this ribosomal RNA (385 nucleotides) under Clostridioides difficile. RNAcentral's name for it is "partial 23S ribosomal RNA". It matches the Rfam family "Bacterial large subunit ribosomal RNA", at positions 2538 to 2925 of the family's 2925-position model. The record is from RNAcentral. Lineage: Bacteria; Bacillati; Bacillota; Clostridia; Peptostreptococcales; Peptostreptococcaceae.